AGGUGGGUCUGAGAGCUGCUGUGGAACUGAAGACCAGGAGUUGCCUACGUUAACCGGAGGACUGAGAUGCUCUGAUCAGCCUGCCUGCUGAGGCAGUGGUUACAGCUCGAGUAGCAUACGGCACUGGAGUAAAUCCACAUUCUCUACUUCUUUCUCAUAAGCUUGAAAAUAAAUGGAUACUGCUGAGUGCUAGAGAGCCCUCUUCUGCUGGGUGCUGUACACACACUGUGCAAAAGGAGGAUGUUGCCGUGAAGAGUUUCUAGCCUGAGCAGUGGACAAGAGACUUGUGUUUUUAAGGGGGCAGAAGAAACAACAAGACUUAUACUAGGGAGCAUAGCGGAACAGCAAUUUUGGAGUGCUGCCAGCUGAAGAUCAGCCCCUGUAGACAUCACACCUCACACCUGAAGAGAGACCAGAAAGAGGUUCCCGAUGCUCACAUUAAUUAAAAGGCCUAACAUUCACAUCAUUCAUUCACAUUAUUGUUAGUAGCAUUCCUACUGCACGAAAUGUGUCCUGUCUUUCUCCGCUGUAUUGUGAAAAACAGUGACCUAAAAGGAGCUUCCAGAUGCAGAG
Molecule: long non-coding RNA, 573 nt
Filed under: Struthio camelus australis
Lineage: Eukaryota; Metazoa; Chordata; Aves; Struthioniformes; Struthionidae
Description: lncRNA (ENSSCUG00000012800.1)
Source: RNAcentral